This 364-nucleotide ribosomal RNA is filed under the name uncultured beta proteobacterium. Its description in RNAcentral is "bacterial SSU rRNA". It matches the Rfam family "Bacterial small subunit ribosomal RNA", at positions 546 to 910 of the family's 1533-position model. RNAcentral also lists the same sequence under 1 other name. Lineage: Bacteria; Pseudomonadati; Pseudomonadota; Betaproteobacteria. The record is from RNAcentral.
CGGAUCACUGGGCGUAAAGAGCGUGUAGGCGGGUAUAUAAGUCAGAAGUGAAAUCCUAUAGCUUAACUAUAGAACUGCUUUUGAAACUGUAUACCUAGAAUGUGGGAGAGGUAGAUGGAAUUUCUGGUGUAGGGGUAAAAUCCGUAGAGAUCAGAAGGAAUACCGAUUGCGAAGGCGAUCUACUGGAACAUUAUUGACGCUGAGACGCGAAAGCGUGGGGAGCAAACAGGAUUAGAUACCCUGGUAGUCCACGCCCUAAACGAUGUACACUAGUUGUUGUGAGGCUCGACCUUGCAGUAAUGCAGUUAACACAUUAAGUGUACCGCCUGGGGAGUACGGUCGCAAGAUUAAAACUCAAAGAAAU